This 353-nucleotide long non-coding RNA is filed under the name Ailuropoda melanoleuca (giant panda). RNAcentral's name for it is "lncRNA (ENSAMEG00000025648.1)". The record is from RNAcentral. Lineage: Eukaryota; Metazoa; Chordata; Mammalia; Carnivora; Ursidae.
GGAAUAAAUCUGUAAAAAUCAGUCACUGCUACAGUCCACUCGGGAAAUUAGCCAACAUCACCAGGAGCGAAGACAGUGCCGAUGAGGGGAAAGAGAAGUGUUUCCCUUUGAGCACCGAGUCCUUCCAGAGACUGACCAAAGUGGGGAAAGAGUCGGGGUCUUGGGACACCAAUCUCCAACAUGGGCACUCACACGUAAAGCAGGAAGAAACUUUUGCUUCUUCAUAACCUGAAGAAAGGUUGAUGCCAUCUCUAGAUGUACAUGGAGGAACAAGAGAGUGAGUAACGGUUACUUUGGAAAUUUUGAGCAACUUGUUGCCAAAAAAUAAGGGAUCUCCACAAAGCAGUUCCCAC